UUUAAGUCUCCAACACAGUAUAGAUUCCGGAUUACCGGUCUGAGGCUCUGCUUCUUUAAUUAUAGAAUCUGAGAAUUGUUGUAUCACAGUGAUUUACAUAGUGAAAAGGGUAUCGUCUUUGAAUAGUUUUUCAUCCCAUCUUAAGCAGGAAAGUCUUUAGGCUUGUAAUUCUACGAUAGCAUGAAAAUGACCUCAGAUGUAGAGAAGUUGUUUCUUCUGAUUUAAUGCAGCCUCACAGUUUGAACUACUUUAGAGUGCGUGUUUCUAUUAGUUGAAUAGAACGUGACAAGGAUAAAUGGGUAAAAAGGAUGACAAUGCAAACUCUUCAACUAAGUGGUUACUGGUUAGAACUUAAAAGGGUCUAUUUUAUGAAAGUAUUAUUUGUCUGAGACAAUCUUCAUUAAAAAUAAAAUAAAUUUUUUGCUAAGUAUAGGAAUAGGUAAAAAAUUUAGUACGGAUGAACAAAACCAAUCUCAACUUC
This 481-nucleotide long non-coding RNA is filed under the name Glycine max (soybean). RNAcentral's name for it is "long non-coding RNA (GMAX_LNC002702)". The record is from RNAcentral. Lineage: Eukaryota; Viridiplantae; Streptophyta; Magnoliopsida; Fabales; Fabaceae.